Molecule: non-coding RNA, 75 nt
Organism: Euryarchaeota archaeon RBG_13_57_23
Lineage: Archaea; Methanobacteriati; Methanobacteriota
Source: Rfam
AGCGGGGUGGGGUAGCUUGGAAAUCCCAUCAGGCUCAUAACCUGAAGAUCGCUAGUUCAAAUCUAGCCCCCGCUA